Non-coding RNA from Legionella drancourtii LLAP12, 131 nucleotides. The record is from Rfam. Lineage: Bacteria; Pseudomonadati; Pseudomonadota; Gammaproteobacteria; Legionellales; Legionellaceae.
UCAUCCAUGUCACUGGAUGAAUCUAGGGUUAUGGAAAAAGAGCUACCCCAACAAUGUAGACGAAAUGCUUACAGCAUGGAGAAAGAAUCGUGAGAAGGUGGCCCUUCUGGUAACCACAACCAGUAAGCUAG